GACGAACGCUGGCGGCGUGCUUAACACAUGCAAGUCGAACGGAAAGGCCCUGCUUUUGUGGGGUGCUCGAGUGGCGAACGGGUGAGUAACACGUGAGUAACCUGCCCUUGACUUUGGGAUAACUUCAGGAAACUGGGGCUGAUACCGGAUAGGAGCUCCUGCUGCAUGGUGGGGGUUGGAAAGUUUCGGCGGUUGGGGAUGGACUCGCGGCUUAUCAGCUUGUUGGUGGGGUAGUGGCUUACCAAGGCUUUGACGGGUAGCCGGCCUGAGAGGGUGACCGGCCACAUUGGGCCUGAGAUACGGCCCAGACUCCUACGGGAGGCAGCAGUGGGGAAUAUUGCACAAUGGGCGGAAGCCUGAUGCAGCAACGCCGCGUGCGGGAUGACGGCCUUCGGGUUGUAAACCGCUUUCGCCUGUGACGAAGCGUGAGUGACGGUAAUGGGUAAAGAAGCACCGGCUAACUACGUG
Molecule: ribosomal RNA, 468 nt
Filed under: uncultured bacterium
Lineage: Bacteria
Description: partial 16S ribosomal RNA
Rfam family: Bacterial small subunit ribosomal RNA
Source: RNAcentral